CGAUGAUACGCGAGGAACCUUACCUGGGCUUAAAUGUAGAGUGCAUUUUUUAGAGAUAGAAAUUCCUCGGGCUUCUGCAAGGUGCUGCAUGGUUGUCGUCAGCUCGUGCCGUGAGGUGUCGGGUUAAGUCCCAUAACGAGCGCAACCCUUAUCGUUAGUUGCCAUCUGGUAAUGCAGGGGACUCUAGCGAAACUGCCACCGUAAGGUGAGAGGAAGGUGGGAUGACGUCAAAUCAGCACGGCCCUUAUGUCCAGGGCUACACACGUGUUACAAUGGUCGGUACAGAGGGCAGCUACCUGGUGACAGGAUGCUAAUCUCGAAAACCGGUCUCAGUUCGGAUCGAAGUCUGCAACUCGACUUCGUGAAGCUGGAUUCGCUAGUAAUCGCGCAUCAGCUAUGGCGCGGUGAAUACGUUCUCGGGCCUU
RNAcentral lists this ribosomal RNA (425 nucleotides) under uncultured Sphingobacteriales bacterium. RNAcentral describes it as "bacterial SSU rRNA". It matches the Rfam family "Bacterial small subunit ribosomal RNA", at positions 952 to 1382 of the family's 1533-position model. Lineage: Bacteria; Pseudomonadati; Bacteroidota; Sphingobacteriia; Sphingobacteriales. The record is from RNAcentral.